This 72-nucleotide transfer RNA is filed under the name Nanobdellota archaeon. RNAcentral's name for it is "tRNA-Arg". It matches the Rfam family "tRNA". Rfam says of the family: Transfer RNA (tRNA) molecules are approximately 80 nucleotides in length. Their secondary structure includes four short double-helical elements and three loops (D, anti-codon, and T loops). Lineage: Archaea; Nanobdellati; Nanobdellota. The record is from RNAcentral.
GGGCUCGUCGUUCAAUGGAUAGGAUAACAGGUUUCGGCCCUGUUGAUGGGGGUUCGAAUCCCUCCGAGCCUA